This 592-nucleotide small RNA is filed under the name uncultured Romboutsia sp. RNAcentral describes it as "ROOL RNA". It matches the Rfam family "ROOL RNA". From Rfam's summary of the family: Firmicutes, Fusobacteria (1 example), Tenericutes (1 example). The record is from RNAcentral. Lineage: Bacteria; Bacillati; Bacillota; Clostridia; Peptostreptococcales; Peptostreptococcaceae.
UUUUGAUAGUAGGUAACCUUGUGAAGAUGUUUGUUAAGCUGCAAGGAGUUAAGGUAUAUCAAUUCAGUUAUUGUAAGGAUACUUUCAAUAGGUGGAUUUAUUGUAGUAGUAAUAUUGCGAUAGAAGUGAGAAACUCACAACGAUAACUUAACGUGCUUAUUAUAUACGCUCAUAAAAACAUAAUUCUCUUGGUGGUAAUAAUAGACGCUCUCUGUGAGGGAAUAAUCUUAUAUGUUAGAUGUAGGGAUAUAUUUAACCUCUAUAAGAAAAUCCAAAUAAUGCCAUUAGUCGUGAACCUAAGAAAUUAGGGUAUAACAAGAGUUUGUAGUGCGAGUAGCCAAAGACGACUGGAAAUACAUAGUUGAAAAUAUAAUCACGAAUGGAUUAUAAGAUGAUAAAUUCUAUUUCUGAAAAACUGGUGAAAGUUAGAGGUAGUCAAUCCUCUUCAAGUAUUAGUGCUUCGUCGCUAUGUAAAAUAUAGGGCAAGAAGCAUCAAGGUCGCUCCUUAAUGCUCAGACUUGUCUUCUUGGUGGUUGAAUAUAUGAGAAGUAUGUAAUCGGUAAGGUGAAGACCUACCUACUAUUCUAUUUAA